CCAGCCCACCACGGCACGUUGUGAGGUCACCCACAGACUUAGCUUUCGAUUGUGAUCCUUGACGCCGAGCAAGCAGCCCAAUGCGUGUCGCUAAGUUCCUAACCAGGCUUUUUCCAAGAAGCCAGGAGUGUGGAACGACACGCGCUCAACAGUCAGGAUCGGGCGGAUACAAAGUACUGGUACGAUCCUCUUGCGACGAGCCGGCUUCUGGCCAAAAUUCCAGCGGGCAGGCCUUCCGCAUGUGCCGCGGGAGGUCGAGUCAAGACGGUAUGGACAAUGCAAGUCCUCUGAGUCGAACGCUGGAAAGAGUGGUGUAAAGUCCAAGCCCAUCGGUCACGUCUCGAAACACGGGCCAAGGAGUAUAGCAUGUGUGCAAGUCUAAGGGUCUCACAAAAUCCGAAGGCAAAGUGAAAGCAAGUAAGCGGCGGGUGAUCUACGGAGAGAUCCCGUCAGCUAGAGGCUUCUUCCUCCGGGAAUGGUCUCCGGCUUUGGCAGAGUUGAUCCUGCAGCGGUACCGCAGACGUACGCUCAGGCGCAAACUCCAGGCUCACGUUUCGCACUGGUUCUUGAACUGUGCUGUGAGCACUGUGGAGCAUGCAUGCUAUGACCCGAAAGAUAGUGAACUAUGCCUGGCGAGGGCGAAGCCCCAGGAAACUGGGGUGGAGGCCCGUAGCCGUUGUGACGUGCAAAUCCA
This 694-nucleotide ribosomal RNA is filed under the name Zenkevitchia admirabilis. RNAcentral's name for it is "partial 28S ribosomal RNA". It matches the Rfam family "Eukaryotic large subunit ribosomal RNA", at positions 492 to 901 of the family's 3401-position model. The record is from RNAcentral. Lineage: Eukaryota; Metazoa; Arthropoda; Malacostraca; Amphipoda; Typhlogammaridae.